RNAcentral lists this ribosomal RNA (497 nucleotides) under uncultured bacterium. Its description in RNAcentral is "partial 16S ribosomal RNA". It matches the Rfam family "Bacterial small subunit ribosomal RNA", at positions 28 to 507 of the family's 1533-position model. The record is from RNAcentral.
GAUGAACGCUGGCGGCGUGCCUAAUACAUGCAAGUCGUGCGAACAGAUGCUUAGCUUGCUCCUCUGACGUUAGCGGCGUACGUGUGACUAACAUGUGCAUAACCCACCUAUAAGACUGGGAUAACUUCGUGAAACCGGAGCUAAUACCGUAUACUAUCUUGAACCUCAUGGUUCAAUAGUUCAAGCCGGUUUUGCUGUCAUUUCUAGAUGGAUCCGCGCCGGAUUAGCUAGUUGGUAAGGUAACGGCUUCCCAAGGCAACCAUGCGUAGCCGACCUGAGAGGGGGAAGGGCGACACGGGAACUGAGACGCGGUACAGACUCCGAGGGGAGGCAGAGGUAGGGAAGCGAGGGAGAUGGGGGAAAGAUUGAAGGAGGAACGCAGGGUGAGUGAAGAAGGGCUGCGGAUCGUAAAACUCUGUUAGGAGGGAAGAACAAAUGUGGAAGUAACGAUGCACGUCGUGACGGUACCUAAUCAGAAAGCCACGGCUAACUACGUG